This 1370-nucleotide ribosomal RNA is filed under the name Curtobacterium flaccumfaciens. RNAcentral's name for it is "partial 16S ribosomal RNA". It matches the Rfam family "Bacterial small subunit ribosomal RNA". The record is from RNAcentral. RNAcentral also lists the same sequence under 1 other name. Lineage: Bacteria; Bacillati; Actinomycetota; Actinomycetes; Micrococcales; Microbacteriaceae.
CAGUCGAACGAUGAUGCCCAGCUUGCUGGGUGGAUUAGUGGCGAACGGGUGAGUAACACGUGAGUAACCUGCCCCUGACUCUGGGAUAAGCGUUGGAAACGACGUCUAAUACUGGAUAUGAUCACUGGCCGCAUGGUCUGGUGGUGGAAAGAUUUUUUGGUUGGGGAUGGACUCGCGGCCUAUCAGCUUGUUGGUGAGGUAAUGGCUCACCAAGGCGACGACGGGUAGCCGGCCUGAGAGGGUGACCGGCCACACUGGGACUGAGACACGGCCCAGACUCCUACGGGAGGCAGCAGUGGGGAAUAUUGCACAAUGGGCGAAAGCCUGAUGCAGCAACGCCGCGUGAGGGAUGACGGCCUUCGGGUUGUAAACCUCUUUUAGUAGGGAAGAAGCGAAAGUGACGGUACCUGCAGAAAAAGCACCGGCUAACUACGUGCCAGCAGCCGCGGUAAUACGUAGGGUGCAAGCGUUGUCCGGAAUUAUUGGGCGUAAAGAGCUCGUAGGCGGUUUGUCGCGUCUGCUGUGAAAUCCCGAGGCUCAACCUCGGGCUUGCAGUGGGUACGGGCAGACUAGAGUGCGGUAGGGGAGAUUGGAAUUCCUGGUGUAGCGGUGGAAUGCGCAGAUAUCAGGAGGAACACCGAUGGCGAAGGCAGAUCUCUGGGCCGUAACUGACGCUGAGGAGCGAAAGCAUGGGGAGCGAACAGGAUUAGAUACCCUGGUAGUCCAUGCCGUAAACGUUGGGCGCUAGAUGUAGGGACCUUUCCACGGUUUCUGUGUCGUAGCUAACGCAUUAAGCGCCCCGCCUGGGGAGUACGGCCGCAAGGCUAAAACUCAAAGGAAUUGACGGGGGCCCGCACAAGCGGCGGAGCAUGCGGAUUAAUUCGAUGCAACGCGAAGAACCUUACCAAGGCUUGACAUACACCGGAAACGGCCAGAGAUGGUCGCCCCCUUGUGGUCGGUGUACAGGUGGUGCAUGGUUGUCGUCAGCUCGUGUCGUGAGAUGUUGGGUUAAGUCCCGCAACGAGCGCAACCCUCGUUCUAUGUUGCCAGCGGGUUAUGCCGGGGACUCAUAGGAGACUGCCGGGGUCAACUCGGAGGAAGGUGGGGAUGACGUCAAAUCAUCAUGCCCCUUAUGUCUUGGGCUUCACGCAUGCUACAAUGGCCGGUACAAAGGGCUGCGAUACCGUAAGGUGGAGCGAAUCCCAAAAAGCCGGUCUCAGUUCGGAUUGAGGUCUGCAACUCGACCUCAUGAAGUCGGAGUCGCUAGUAAUCGCAGAUCAGCAACGCUGCGGUGAAUACGUUCCCGGGCCUUGUACACACCGCCCGUCAAGUCAUGAAAGUCGGUAACACCCGAAGCCGGUGGCCUAACC